CCGAGGGGGCGGGCAGGGGUCGGAGGGACGCCCACUCGACGGUUCGCCUUCCUCCCCCGCAACCCCGGGGCAGAGCCGACCAAGCUUCGGACCUCCAGAUGUGUUCUCAGCCUCCCCUUCCCGUAGCAGUCUCUUACCUGGUGAGCUGGCUCCCCUCUAGUCAUGGAGUGUCCCCUGAAAACUCUGGGUCACAGAGGAUGGAUUUGAGAUCUGCUGGCUCCAAGUGAUGAGGAAAGAUGUUCUGUUCUCCUUGGCUUGUCCUCAAAACCCAGUCACAAAAGGUGGAUAAGCUGAAUAAGUUCAGGCUCAGGGCCUUCGAAUGCAGCCCUCACCUCAGAGUUUCUCAAGAGAAAUCAAGUCCCAGGACCAUGGAAUAUCAGAGGAGCGAGGAAAGGAAAUCCAUUUUUCAUUCAGUGAGUAUAUUCAGAGUAUGUCCACCUGUGUCAGAAAGUGAAACCUACCGCUUGCUGCCUGGCGUCGCCCCUCGGCUCCUCACCAAGCUGGCUUAUAUCUGAGCCCCACAGCCCAGCCUCCACCUCUGCACCGGGAGGGCCGCCUAGCAGGCAGUCCUCAGGGCGCCCACUGUUGAGCCUGGUGCCCUUUCCUCUGUUCUUGCCCUCACUUCCUCUUACAACAUGGAACACCUGAUCUCACUCUGCCACCACCUUUCUCCUCCUUCGGCUUCCUGGGUGUUUACACUCUUCUGUCAUCCUCUCAUCUUCCUUCUCAGUCUCUGCUUCUUAUCUCCUAAUAUGAGCUGAAUUGUUCCCCCCCUCAAAUUCAUAUGUUGAAGUCCGAACCUCCAAUACCUCAGAAUGUGACCAUAUUUG
Long non-coding RNA from Galeopterus variegatus (Sunda flying lemur), 830 nucleotides. RefSeq lists it as uncharacterized. The transcript has 3 exons. The record is from RefSeq and is a predicted model, not a curated record. NCBI's taxonomy places the organism in Eukaryota, Metazoa, Chordata, Mammalia, Dermoptera, Cynocephalidae.